ACAAGUCUUACUAGUAUAGAUUAACACUCAAAGUUGAUUUCUAUAUAGUAAAUAAGAAAUGUAAGUAGAGAAUACAACGAUACUACCUAUUCCAGAAUGGUCUUAACUAAGAUUUAAAUAAAAAAAAAGGUACCUCAUCGUCAGCUUCCUUCUCGCUAAACAUUGCACAAGCUCUAGAGUAUGAUGAAGAAAUAAAUUUUUUUACACAAAAUAGAAAAAAAUUAACAAUAAAAGAAACCUUGCAUGAGUUUGUGGCUUGUGAAGAGUAGGGUUUGCAUUUAUAUACUGUCAUACUAAUACUAUUAUUAUGGGGUAAUGGUAAGUGGGUUGGCCGGCUGAGUCAUGUAGAUGUAAUGGAGGGGGGGGGGAGAUUUUGUUUUGGGCUAGAUAGAAAAGUAGUGUAAAUCCCAAUAAUCAAUUCAAUUUUUUUUAGCGGGUAAUCAGUUCGGUUUCGGUUCGAUGGAGUAAAUACCAUACCCACACCAUCAUGAACCGGUUCAUUAAUAUAAAAAUCAUAUCCGCCUCAUUGCACCAUCGAUUCGGUUUUUUUCGCCCCAUUCGGUUCGAUUAAUCGCAAUUUUCGAUUUUAACAGUUCAAAUUGCCAUCUCUAAAAAAUGACAAGGGACGAGACAAGUCUAGUGGUAGAUGGUAUUACAGUUGUAAUAAAUCUGAAAACUUUAUUAAGGACUGUUCCAAGAAGAAAGAUAAACUGAAGAGUAAGAUGAGAGAUGAGCCGAAUUUGGCUAUAGGGUCAAGUGAUGACCUUAGCGAGAUUUAUUACACUACUAGAAAGUGAGGCAAUAGAGACGGAAAUUUGGCAACAAACGUCUUCAGUUGCUAAUACCAAC
RNAcentral lists this long non-coding RNA (849 nucleotides) under Olea europaea (common olive). Its description in RNAcentral is "long non-coding RNA (OEUR_LNC004270)". The record is from RNAcentral. Lineage: Eukaryota; Viridiplantae; Streptophyta; Magnoliopsida; Lamiales; Oleaceae.